CAAAUACUACCAUACUCUUUAAUUGGAAAAGUUACACGUAUAUACCUUUUCAAAGCCAAAUGUCAAUUUGCUAAGAUAAAUAAUUGGUAUGAUUGAUUUGGAGUACCACCAUCAGAAGCUAGAUGUUUGUGAUUUGGUGAUCUCUCAUUAAACAUGCAAUAGAAGUAUAGAACUAUAAACCAAACAUUUUCAUUCAUAUAAAAUAAGAGAGAAAUAUUAAAUUGAAAACAAAUGACUCAUCGUGCAAUUUCAACGACAAAUAUUGUCGUGCCAUUUAUCAUUUUC
Molecule: long non-coding RNA, 285 nt
Filed under: Trifolium pratense (red clover)
Lineage: Eukaryota; Viridiplantae; Streptophyta; Magnoliopsida; Fabales; Fabaceae
Description: long non-coding RNA (TPRA_LNC007317)
Source: RNAcentral